AAAAGGUGGCUAUGCUACCGCUUUUGGAUGGGCCCGCGGCGCAUUAGCUAGUUGGUGGGGUAAAGGCUUACCAAGGCAAUGAUGCGUAGCCGAACUGAGAGGUUGAUCGGCCACAUUGGGACUGAGACACGGCCCAAACUCCUACGGGAGGCAGCAGUAGGGAAUCUUCCACAAUGGGCGAAAGCCUGAUGGAGCAACGCCGCGUGGGUGAAGAAGGUCUUCGGAUCGUAAAACCCUGUUGUUAGAGAAGAAAGUGCGUGAGAGUAACUGUUCACGUUUCGACGGUAUCUAACCAGAAAGCCACGGCUAACUACGUGCCAGCAGCCGCGGUAAUACGUAGGUGGCAAGCGUUAUCCGGAUUUAUUGGGCGUAAAGGGAACGCAGGCGGUCUUUUAAGUCUGAUGUGAAAGCCUUCGGCUUAACCGGAGUAGUGCAUUGGAAACUGGGAGACUUGAGUGCAGAAGAGGAGAGUGGAACUCCAUGUGUAGCGGUGAAAUGCGUAGAUAUAUGGAAGAACACCAGUGGCGAAAGCGGCUCUCUGGUCUGUAACUGACGCUGAAGUUCGAAAGCGUGGGUAGCAAACAGGAUUAGAUACCCUGGUAGUCCACGCCGUAAACGAUGAAUGCUAAGUGUUGGAGGGUUUCCGCCCUUCA
This 653-nucleotide ribosomal RNA is filed under the name uncultured bacterium. RNAcentral describes it as "bacterial SSU rRNA". It matches the Rfam family "Bacterial small subunit ribosomal RNA", at positions 202 to 842 of the family's 1533-position model. The record is from RNAcentral.